Molecule: long non-coding RNA, 11768 nt
Filed under: Zea mays
Lineage: Eukaryota; Viridiplantae; Streptophyta; Magnoliopsida; Poales; Poaceae
Description: long non-coding RNA (ZMAY_LNC001621)
Source: RNAcentral
GCAUCUCAUGAGGUACGAUAAAUAAUCGCGUGAUGCGGAAGAAGAACCAAGCCGACCCCAAGCGUGGGCUAAUCUGCAAGCUGAAGCUGAUGAAUCAACCUGAAGACGGUUAAAUCAAGCAAGUGCUCGGUCGAAGGAUACUCGUCAAGCGGACGUCACCUAACAACACUAACCUAGUGUUACUCAGGCAAGCCCCGGUGCAUGCAACCCCUUUCCUUGUGUUUUUAAAAUAAUUUUUGCACACCUUAAGUCUAGUGAAAUGUGCAUUAGGUUUAUAGGAGUUGCUUGAAACCCUUUGAUGCAUUGCUUCCUUGAUAUCCAUACCUUUAUAGAUACUUCUGUGAAGUAUCAAAAUAUGAUUUACAAAAAUGCUUAGCCCUGCUUAGAUCUUGUGGAUAGAGGUUGUCCUUAGCUUAGCUCGAGAAAGGAUGGCUUCUACCUGCAAGAAUAUUUUCAUUUGGAGCAAUGGUGGGAUCUUACUGCAAAGCUCCCUGUGAUGCUCUUUUCAUCCUUGGGAACAGAAACAAUCCUAAGGAUGGAAGUAUGUAAAUCGAGACUUGGGUUAGGAACAGGUGAUGUUCUACCCAGGUUGAUUAAGGAUUAAUGCGUAUGUAGGCUUGAUGAUCGAGGACCCUUUAACUGGUCACAUGCCUCAUCAUGGUUAAGCCUUGCCUCGGGCAGACUAAGGCCAGAAUAAGAUAACACGAAAUGGGCGUGGAGCGGUGGCGAGAGUAGCGUGUACCCUCCGUGGCAAGAGGCUGGACGGUGGUGUAUCUGUGCUCUCGGUUUGCGUGAACCUGAUCUGGUCUUAAGAACCCCGGUGGCGGGUUGACAUAUGCAAGGGUUAAGUGCUACAUAUGUCGUGUGAUUGGAGAUCCUCAGCUGAGUAUAAUCGAUUCGGAUCGCCGUACCUUCGCGGUUAUGAAGACUUGGUCACUGCCCUGCAACCUAAAGUCAGGAUGUGAACACUAUGGAUAAAAAUGAUGUUGUGUUGAUGAGAUGUUGAAAUUAGACUAGAUGCAAAUAGAGUCUAUUAAUACUUAAUAUGGCGUUAAAAGAUUGAAAGUAAGGACUCACUUUAGUAAGCUACUUCUGCAAAAGUAUAAGUUGAUUUUUGCUAAAGCCUCUCCUUGACUCCUAUUUAUCCAGCAUACCCUUGAGAGUCUUUUCCUUAGUCGGGUAAGACUUGCUGAGUAAUUCCAUACUCAGGGUUUUAUUCCCUGUUGUUUUUCAGGUUUUAGUUUUGUGCUGCUGAUGAUGGUGUUAAGUGCCGGUGGGCUCGGCCUUCUUAUAUGUCUAAGUAACCCUUCUAUACUUCUUAUUGAGGAUGAUCCCUUAAGCUAGCAUAUAUUUCAAACUUAUACUUUUGUAAUCACUCCGAUAAACUAAUGUAAAAAUUUUGUAACCUGUAAAAUUUGGUAGUAAGAUUUCCGCUGCAACAAUAUUGGUGUGUGUGAUUUGUGUUACUUAAUCCCGCGGUUCUGGUUGUAAGUGGUUUAUCCGAUGUCCUUGGGGCAAUCGGACGGAUCCUCUUAAGUUAUUUAGUGCACAUGCAUAGCUGUCUGAGGUCUUUGAGACAAGGACAGGUGCAUGUGGGCCCAAUAACUUGGGAGGUUCUGCCACAGCUGGUAUCGGAGCAGGAUUAAGUAUAUACGGUCACAUACGUAUUUUCAAAACAAAAGUUUUGGUUUCGAAAAACCUAUUUUCAACUAAACACAUUGUUUGGCUUUGAAAAAUAGUUUAAAAAAAACUAUAAUGCUAGCGACAUCCUCUAUUAAGCCCUAAGUUAAGGACUAUCAGGUGGCUUAUUUGAAAACCACUAACCCACAACCGGGUGGGUAUUGCAUACAUGUGUAUUGUUAUUUUUAAGGCCAUUCAGUUUUGAAUGGAUCGACGCCCAAGGUAAGGUGAGUUGUGAGAGCAUGACCGAACAACCGUCGGUCUAGGGAAGUGCUUAAUUGUGGUGCUUGACUAUAUACAUGUUCUACAUAUGUAUAUACGAAAGCUGCGAUGUGGAGUAAUUACUUUUCUGGGAAUUCAGUACCCCAUGGAUGUGUAUGGGUAUACAGAUAUGGGAAUACUGAGAAGUGUAAUGUACUUGUAACAACGCACCUACACUCAGGUAAGAAGGUGAGUUACCAUAAUGAGUUGCCCUAUGGUUAAAGUGUGGCAACGGCGCCUAUGCAUGGCUCGGCGCUUAACGAUGAGCUAGCCUCCAUAUAGAAAUAUAUGGAGUAUAAACUGUGAUAAACUGUCAUGUGUGAAUUGCAUCAUUGGGAAAUUGGGCUGUGAUGGAUUUUUCUGCAGGUACACUAACCUCGAAAACGUAUGUGUAGUUGACGACUAGCAAAAUAUCGUGAGUGUCGCAAGUAUGCCACCGAUAUAGAACGCUAUCGCCACAUUAUGUUGGCAAAAUUAGUAAGGACGAAUAAGACGAGCAUGCAUCCUGAUUGUUGCAUCAUGUUUGUCACCUAUACAUCCAAAAUGCUUCUCUCAUCUUUAUUCCAGUAACCAUUGAUUGUAGAUAAUGUGGUGUAAUGCUGUAGUAUGGACUUCAAUGAAAUAGUUGUCCUCCGUUCUUUAGAUAAUAUGUUUAGGUGUAUAUGUGUUUGCCCUUGUGCUUGAUGUGCCGGUAGAAUAUUGGUGAACUGUUUGUCUAAACCCAAAAUUCAAGUUUUCCGUUAUCACUCCAUGACCAAACACAUAAAAAUAAAUGGCUAGAUAAUUUCUUUGUUGGACCUAAAGUGUACCCGGACUUGAAGCAAGAAUCUCGAGUCAUGUCCCCAUCCUAAACUAUAUCCUUACUCAGUUGGUGCAAGCUGAUGUACCUUACUCAGUUCGUCUGUUCUUAAGGAUCGCCAUGUUGCUUUAUCAACCUAACCUAGGAAAGGCAUGUCCGAUUAUUUUCUUUAGUUUGAUGUCUUUGGUUUCCUCAUAUCUAUCAAAGGCAUACCAACUUAAUCUUAUGAUUAUUUUCCCUCCGUAUCUAAUCAGAUACUAAUCCGUGACCUUGAAAUUGCUGCGAUGGGCAUAGAGAUAUGCUUGGGGCUGAAGUUACAGUCUCCCAUCGUACUCCCUCACCACCUAGUUUAGGUUAUGGUCAUGCCUUGUUCAUUUUAUCGGGCCAUGAUCUAUUUGGCUCUCUACUUGUAACCAUUCAUACAGGUGGAGUAUCUCUUUGUAUAUUAUCACCCUUGCCCAGUCUAUUUGUGUUGUGCGAGAUUUCUUAUUGGUUAUGUCUGGUAAUGGUGUUAUGACUAAAACUGGUGGUGCCGUGAUGAAACCGAGGGCCUUCUGUGUGUGCGCACACAUGGUCGUGCUGCUCGGCACGCGCGAGUAUCACUGUUAGUAGUUAUAAUCCAUUAUGAGAUUAUAUCAAUGUGUUAUCUUGGCACAAUCUGUUUUUACCACGUGAGAUUCAUUAUUGGUGUUGUUCGGUAAUGGUGUCACGAUUAAUGACUUAUGGUGCCGCAGCGAAACUGAGAGCCUCCUGUGAAUGCGCACACAGGAUUGUGCUACUCGUCGGAUGCUGGUAUCAAGGUCUCUGGUCAUGAUCCAUUAUGGAACUACCCUAAUAUGUUAUCCUCCAUAAACUACUCCCUUGAAACAAUUUCUAUGUUGUUUGUCAAGUGAUCAAGCAACAUCUAUCAUCUUUGUUGGAUCAAAAGGGCAUACCACUUUCGUGUGUGGUCUCUUUCCUUUUGAUCUUGGUAUUGACUACUCAUACAAGUUCCAUUUACGUCCUUUGUGUAAAGGUGAAGCCUUGGAGCUUUUUAGUGUCGAGAGACAACUGAUUAGCUCUCAAAAUGGAGAUCUGUUUUCCCUGCUGCUGAGAUGCAGGAGUUUGUUCAUUCCCUCUCUUAUUUAAUCCAUGUAUUCCCUAACCAAGUCAGUUCAUCUCGCAUGAAGAAACGGGUGAACAACCUGACCAAAUGGACUUCUAUUCAAAUACAUGAUCUCUUGUUAACCAGAGUGAACUCUCAACCCUUGGCUUACCGAUGGUACUGAGAGGACAUGCCCAAUGUCAAAAGUGGUUCAACAAGUUGGUUUUGACUAACUUGUAACUGCCCAGUGAACAAAGGUUGAGUUUAGAGAUCGUUUUGUCGAGUUGUCUAAACUCACUCUGGUUUAACCCACCCUGAAGAAAGCAGAUAUAAGGAUCGAGAUUAAGUUGACUAGUAACCCCCUAAUUAUCGCUCUAGUUAUGCCUCGAUCGCCUCACGUGUGUUUUCCCAGCAUAUGUGAUCAAGUCGAGCCAUGCCUAGUGCUUGAUAAAAUGGACUGGUCGUAAAGUCCAUAUCUACUGAUCCCUCCGCUGGUGAUUUUCUCGAAUCUAUAUCACCUUUCAGGGACUUGGAUUUUCUGGUUGGCCACGGGUCAACUGUGAUGUUAUUUGACAUUCACACCCGUCUCGUGUGCUAUAAACUUACCGUGACCACUUGUUGGUAAACCUCUUUCUGGGUGUUUUACCCAAGAGGUUGCAUCUGGUUCUGUUUGGGUAAAGUCGCAUAUUCACCGCUCACUCAACAGACUCAGAUAGUAUAGUGUCAUCAGAAAAAGCAAACUGCACACAUGUAACCUUAUGUGUUUCUCUAGCAGCCAUCGUCUCUAUUGGUGGACAUUUCUAAAUUAGCCUAAGGCGAUACAUGUUAUGUCCACUAGAGAAACCACAUCCUGAGACACUCGCCUUUAAUUGGAAACGUCUCACGAUUAUCGCUGAUAUGAACAUGGGUUACAUACUUCUCUACCCUUAGAAGUCUUUCGCUCCGAAUCUCGGGACGAGAUUCUUUUAAGGGGGGAGGGCUGUAACACCCCAGGUGUUUAUAUUCCGCUCGACAACGAGUACGGAUUUAAACACGUGAUAUCAGUGAAUAAGACGGACACUAAGGUCUAAUUAUCUUCUCCUAGCGCAAUUUUAAUAUCGUAUUUGAUCGGCUGUCGCGCGUGCGACGUCGUUUUUAUUUCUAUCUGUUCGGGCUCGUCCUAAAUUUUCGUGAUGUUCGGAACAUUGUGGUUCCGAAAAUCGGUGCGUCCGGUGAUUAUUUAAAACUCAUCGCUCACGUGAAUACGAAUUCGGAAGCCCGACACACUCGGAUGAUUGUAUUCCGAACAAAUUAAUUUGAACCCGACGAUUAAAAUGUUCGAGACGAAAUAAUCUGUAUCGCGCGUCGUCCGAGUGAAAUCGUGCGCGCGAAUAAGAUUCAAUUUAUCCGUCCGCACGCUGUUUUGACGACGAAAUCGCGUAGACAUUAGCGGCUUUGGUUUCGGCUAAUUUCGGUCGAAUCACGCAGAGCAAAAUUAACAAAGCCGAAAUAUGUUUAAUUCGGUCCGUUUCUUUUUGCCUUGAUUUAAAAAGGUGAAUUAACGGUACGCAUUCAUCCGACUCCCGAGUAUUCGUCAAAUCAAAACCGUGUCACAAUUACUGUUUACAUCGUAAACAUCGCUAAAUAUCGGGAUCCAAAAUAUCUUCGAUUUCUGUUAAUAAAAAGAGAGAAAUAAAAAAAGGAAAUAUCCCUUCAUCUCAAUCUCCAGUCGUCUCCUUCCUAUCCCCAUCCCGCCGCCCUCCCCGGAUUUUUUUCUUCACCGCCGCUCAAGCACCUGGAUGAGGAUCGAUGCUGUCGCCAGGAUUUUUUUUCCUCGCCGUGCUCUUCUGCUGAAAUCGGUGCCCAGCCACUCCUCUACAGCCGUUGCCAUCUCCCUCCUGUAGCUCGUCUUCUACGCGCCAGAUCUUCGUCCAGCCGCCUUGGCUCUGCUCGAUUUUUCCAUCGCCGAGUGCAUCCCUAUCUUCUCCACAGCGCCCAGCCGUACUCCGAUUUUUUCUGCCGCCGUUCAAGUCUGAUUUUUUUGUUCUCACCGCCUACGGCCGUUGGCCUCAUCUCCUCGCCGUGUGCUUAUCUUCUCCCUCCCCUCCGAUGUCUCCCUCCCCAACGACGCGACUUCAAGUGCCCAGCGUCGUGCUCCCCCAGCCUCUGCUCCUCUCUCUCCCUACGCCCUGUCGAAGCCCUUCUAUGGCGCGCGUGGAUUUCUCCUCCUCCAUCCCCAGCCAGCCAGCGAGCUCCUCCCUCCUCCCUGCAUCCAUGGAGCUCGGCGCCCAUCUCCAUGGCUCGCCCUGCGUCCAGCCGCCGUGCCCGGUUCCGAGGCUUCUUCUCUGCGCGUUUCAUCUCCAGCUCGGCGACCACAACCUCUCCCGCCCCAUCCCCGACAAUCUUGGUCGACCCGGCGCUCGUGCAGGAGGUUUUCGUGGACAACAUCCUUAACGUCAACCUCGGCCAAGCUCCGGCAGGGCAGGCAGCCCUUGGCGCCGGCUUGCCCAACUCCGUGCCAUGUACCACCGUCAACAAAGUUUUCUCCUCGGGUAUGAAGGCUGUCAUGUUGCGGCUCAAAGUAUUCAGCUGGGAAUCAACGAUGUCGUGGUCGCUGGUGGCAUGGAAAGCAUGUCGAAUACCCCAAAAUAUGGGUGCUGAAUUGUGUUCAGACCAGCACUCAAUCUCACGGGAGGUGCAGAAUUCGUAUGCUAUCCUCAGCAAUGAACGUGGCAUAGCAGCUCAGGAUAGCGGUGCAUUUUCUUGGAGAGAUUAGUUGGAUAUUGGAGGUUUGUUUAUGGUUCAUGGCCAUGGAUGCUGAUGAGCCGUCUCGAGUCCUGCCGAAGACAACGCCUGUCCUCGUCACCAACCCUGCUCGCCCAGAUCCAUAACUCCCUAGUUCAAGUCGGCUGAUUCGUGUGCUGGGGAGCCGUUCUCAGUUGCUCGCCAUGGUCGGCUGCUGCUCCCUAAUCGCCUCAGCCACAACCUCACUGUCGUUCUUCAGCUCGCUGCGCGCUAAGCUCCCUUGUCGUAGUUUUCUCGUGCGCAGCGUUUCGUGGUCCCUCGUCGUGCCGAGUUAUCCUCUACACGCAGUCGUUUCCUAUUUUCUGCUCGCCAGUGUGCCCUCUCGGCUCGCUUGGCCUUAAUUCUCAUCGCGUCAUCGAUUCCGCUGGUCAGCGUCGUUCGUCAUCGUGUCGCGUGUGUAGCUCUAUAUACGUCACCCUCUUGUGUCGUCGUCGUUCCGUGCGUCAUCAAGAAAUUCCAAGAAUCGAGUGAAGACGAAGCCAGCAGCGUGAUAUUCACCAAGUGCGCGACCAAAAAGCUCAGACAUCCUGCGCGACUCAAGUUCAAUUCGUCGAAAUUAUUCAAUCGAAGAAAAUAUCUUCAGCAAUUAGUUACCGAAGAAAAGAAGGCUCCUGGAUGACAUCAACCGGAACCCGUAGUCGUGCUUGCGACUAUCGCGUCGAAUUAGUCAGGGUAAGUUGGUUCGUAUUCCCAUUAACUAGGUCUAUAAAUAGAUUAAAUAGAAUUGUUGGUCACAAUAAAUAUUAUUAAUUUAGUAUGCGUAUAUUGUGAUGAUUGAUUUAGAUAGCUCGCUAAAUCAAGUAAUUAAGUUACACAGUUUAGAGAGUUAAUAAAAAGCUAAGAAUAAAAAUAGAUUUUCUAGUGUAAUAUGUCAAUUUGAUUAAUGGAUAUAGUCGAUGUCCUGCUGUGAUAUCCAUGGUGCUUAAUGCUUGGUUUUAAGUGUUUCAUGCUUUUUAGCGUAGAUUAUCUAUAUUAUACUCGUUAUAUAUGUGCUCAUACAUGUGCAUCAUGCAUCUCAUGAGGUACGAUAAAUAAUCGCGUGAUGCGGAAGAAGAACCAAGCCGACCCCAAGCGUGGGCUAAUCUGCAAGCUGAAGCUGAUGAAUCAACCUGAAGACGGUUAAAUCAAGCAAGUGCUCGGUCGAAGGAUACUCGUCAAGCGGACGUCACCUAACAACACUAACCUAGUGUUACUCAGGCAAGCCCCGGUGCAUGCAACCCCUUUCCUUGUGUUUUUAAAAUAAUUUUUGCACACCUUAAGUCUAGUGAAAUGUGCAUUAGGUUUAUAGGAGUUGCUUGAAACCCUUUGAUGCAUUGCUUCCUUGAUAUCCAUACCUUUAUAGAUACUUCUGUGAAGUAUCAAAAUAUGAUUUACAAAAAUGCUUAGCCCUGCUUAGAUCUUGUGGAUAGAGGUUGUCCUUAGCUUAGCUCGAGAAAGGAUGGCUUCUACCUGCAAGAAUAUUUUCAUUUGGAGCAAUGGUGGGAUCUUACUGCAAAGCUCCCUGUGAUGCUCUUUUCAUCCUUGGGAACAGAAACAAUCCUAAGGAUGGAAGUAUGUAAAUCGAGACUUGGGUUAGGAACAGGUGAUGUUCUACCCAGGUUGAUUAAGGAUUAAUGCGUAUGUAGGCUUGAUGAUCGAGGACCCUUUAACUGGUCACAUGCCUCAUCAUGGGUAAGCCUUGCCUCGGGCAGACUAAGGCCAGAAUAAGAUAACACGAAAUGGGCGUGGAGCGGUGGCGAGAGUAGCGUGUACCCUCCGUGGCAAGAGGCUGGACGGUGGUGUAUCUGUGCUCUCGGUUUGCGUGAACCUGAUCUGGUCUUAAGAACCCCGGUGGCGGGUUGACAUAUGCAAGGGUUAAGUGCUACAUAUGUCGUGUGAUUGGAGAUCCUCAGCUGAGUAUAAUCGAUUCGGAUCGCCGUACCUUCGCGGUUAUGAAGACUUGGUCACUGCCCUGCAACCUAAAGUCAGGAUGUGAACACUAUGGAUAAAAAUGAUGUUGUGUUGAUGAGAUGUUGAAAUUAGACUAGAUGCAAAUAGAGUCUAUUAAUACUUAAUAUGGCGUUAAAAGAUUGAAAGUAAGGACUCACUUUAGUAAGCUACUUCUGCAAAAGUAUAAGUUGAUUUUUGCUAAAGCCUCUCCUUGACUCCUAUUUAUCCAGCAUACCCUUGAGAGUCUUUUCCUUAGUCGGGUAAGACUUGCUGAGUAAUUCCAUACUCAGGGUUUUAUUCCCUGUUGUUUUUCAGGUUUUAGUUUUGUGCUGCUGAUGAUGGUGUUAAGUGCCGGUGGGCUCGGCCUUCUUAUAUGUCUAAGUAACCCUUCUAUACUUCUUAUUGAGGAUGAUCCCUUAAGCUAGCAUAUAUUUCAAACUUAUACUUUUGUAAUCACUCCGAUAAACUAAUGUAAAAAUUUUGUAACCUGUAAAAUUUGGUAGUAAGAUUUCCGCUGCAACAAUAUUGGUGUGUGUGAUUUGUGUUACUUAAUCCCGCGGUUCUGGUUGUAAGUGGUUUAUCCGAUGUCCUUGGGCCAAUCGGACGGAUCCUCUUAAGUUAUUUAGUGCACAUGCAUAGCUGUCUGAGGUCUUUGAGACAAGGACAGGUGCAUGUGGGCCCAAUAACUUGGGAGGUUCUGCCACAAUCCCCAUUGAUUGUUGCCCACAACCCAACAUCAGUACGAUAUGAAAGUGGUUACAAUCAAUGUCCUGACCUCGCGCGAGUGCUAGAAAAAUCACUCGACUUCUACCGAGAUCCUAAUUAAUAAAGCAGCUACUCGACUUAGCAUACUAGUAUUCACCACAAUGGGAUUCCUGAGAUCAUGCAACUAGGGUUUCAAACAACUCCUACACUUAAGUGCACAUUCAAUCCUACAAUCAAUAAGUGUAGUAAAAUAGCAUAAAUAACAGGUUAUGCGUAAACCGGGGCUUGCCUUCCAAAGCAGUGGCAGGCAGGUCCUCUGGUGCAGGCUCUGGUGCUGGGUCCGGGGCUACCUCCUGAGCAGCUCCUUGCUCCGGCACGAGGACGUACUCUCCGUCAGCAAGGUUACAGUCUAUCGAAUGCAAUGAACAUGUAUGUCAUGAGUAUGCAGGAUUUAAUAACAUUAAGCUAAAAAGAAAACUAAGUUAAAUAAUAACUUAGGGUUUCUUGGUCAUGCGGGGCUUCCAGUGGGUUAUGCUUAUUACUUUUUAGGCUUAGGUUUUUAUUGUUGAGGAUAAUCAUAGGGAAUUAGUAUUGCCUUUUUAUAUACUUAAGUGGACAAGUUAUAAAGAGUUUUAGGAUGGCACUGAUUUUCUGUUAUUCACCUUCCCUUUUCCUUAUUUUCUAUUUAUGGUUUCUAGGGUAGGUUUGAACUACGACAGUGGUUUAAUAUUUUCUAAAAAUUCUGUAAAAAUUACAGUGGGUUGCCAUCUGCUAUUCUAGCCUGUUUUAAGAAUUUGAGGCUUCAAAUAUAAAGGCUAUGCUUUAGACAAAAAUAACAAAAGUUGGGUAAAUGGGCCACUUUGUACUACAACUCUUAAUUAGAGGUGGUUUCUGUCCUAAAGGUUAUUUUUGCUGGCAUCUAAUAGCAAUAAUAGGCUUCUGUGCCAAAAAGCACAGAAAGCUAAGGGAUGGUCAUUUAGUUAUGAUUUUCUAAAGUUAAAUACCAAAAAGGCACUUUCUACUACAUUGUUAUUUGAAAAAUGUCAAACAGCAGAUUUCAUAUUUUUCCUAAGUUCUUAUUAACAAAACAUUAGUUAUCCCAAGGGUCGGGGUGUUUUCACCUUGGGGUUAUUUUUGUAGGGUUUUCCUAAGUUUUCCUUGUUUUAUUAAAAUAAAAGGUAUCCUACUUAUUUUCUACUAAAUCAGGGUAUGAUAGAUUUUUCCAGUGAACUACAUUGAAUAAGUACCCUAACAAAAAUAGGGGUGCCCCCUGGUUCAUUAAUUAAAUCACCUUUUCUAUUUUUCUUAACCUUAAGCAUAUUAUAGAAUAAGGGAUAAAAACUAACUUAAUGGAGUGGACAGAGAGGUUUAACAUUUUUGAACAGAUCAGUAGGUAGAUAUAAACUUCUCCAAAUUUUUCUAACCCUAGUCAAAUAAUACAACUAUUUUUCUUCCUAUUAUUGAGCUUUUGGCCAAAACUAUAAUUAAAUCAAAGCUUUAAAGUUUUCUAUAGUACAUAGGGGGUUUUAUAUUUUUCUUAAGUGGGUUACAUUAUUUAGAGUCUGACAAAAUUGGUUGGACCAAAUUUGGAUGAACUAAACAGAAGUUAUGAAUUUUUAAAGUCUCUGUUCAAUUUAAAAACAGAUUUGAUAAGAGUUUCCUGGAAAAACAGUUUACACCGAGGUCCCUGGGUUUAAACUAAAUCAACCCACUCAAAUCUACCCCUGCGCCACUAUUUCCCUGAGUCGCUGACAGUUCAAAAAGCCCCCUGACCUUCUCUCCCUCUCACCAGCAGUCCUUCCCCCAAUGUAAACAGUACCCGUGGGAAAGAAAAGGGUGGCACGGCUUACCGGCGGCGAGAUAGGUCCGGCGAAGGGCAGGGUUGGCUCGGGGAGGCUCUGGCGGUCACAGCGGUGUACGGCUCGACGGCGGGGAUGGCCGGAAUCGCUCGGUCCGCGCGCGCAGGCGGGUGUUCUCGUCGGCGGCGAGUGUACCGGCCAAACCACGGCGACCUAGUUCAAUACAACGGCACGGUGAGCUUCCUGGGGUGAUGUAGAGGCUAUCCGUGCAGUGAAUCGAGAAAUGGCUCAGUGAUUUACCCGGUCCACGCACUCCGGCGGGGUUAUGAACUCCGGCGACCGUGGACUGGCCUCUCCGGCGAAGCAGGCUUCGAUUCCUCGCUCGGGGAGCUUCACUGAGUUGUGCACACUCGUCUCCGAGGUUUGGAUGGGGCUGGGGGAAGCUGGACUGGCCGGUCUACGGCGGAAGUGGCUCGAGUGGCCGCAGACACGCCGCGCACGGGCAAACGGCGGUGAACUGAGCUCCGGUGAGGUUUGAGCGUGCGUGGAAGAGUGUAGCCGAUGCCUGGGCGGGCUUUAUAGGCGCGGGCGUGGGAUAGGGCGCCGGCUGGCCAUUGGCGCGACGCGGGGCGCGCGUGGGCGUGCUCUGGCGCACACAGAGCGCGUCGAACACGUGGAGCUUUCAUUCUACCCGUGUUCCACAGCUCACCCAAGUCGCAAACAUGCG